Molecule: transfer RNA, 73 nt
Filed under: Stegodyphus mimosarum
Lineage: Eukaryota; Metazoa; Arthropoda; Arachnida; Araneae; Eresidae
Rfam family: tRNA
About the family: Transfer RNA (tRNA) molecules are approximately 80 nucleotides in length. Their secondary structure includes four short double-helical elements and three loops (D, anti-codon, and T loops). Further hydrogen bonds mediate the characteristic L-shaped molecular structure. tRNAs have two regions of fundamental functional importance: the anti-codon, which is responsible for specific mRNA codon recognition, and the 3' end, to which the tRNAs corresponding amino acid is attached (by aminoacyl-tRNA synthetases). tRNAs cope with the degeneracy of the genetic code in two manners: having more than one tRNA (with a specific anti-codon) for a particular amino acid; and 'wobble' base-pairing, i.e. permitting non-standard base-pairing at the 3rd anti-codon position.
Source: Rfam by way of RNAcentral
GCAUUCGUGGUGUAGUGGUCAGCACGCUCGACGCGUAACUGAGAGGUCCGUGGUUCGAUUCCCGGUGAAGGCG